This 429-nucleotide ribosomal RNA is filed under the name Bacteroidota bacterium. RNAcentral's name for it is "Bacteroidetes bacterium partial 16S ribosomal RNA". It matches the Rfam family "Bacterial small subunit ribosomal RNA", at positions 355 to 776 of the family's 1533-position model. The record is from RNAcentral. Lineage: Bacteria; Pseudomonadati; Bacteroidota.
UGGGGAAUCUUCGACAAUGGACGAAAGCCUGACGAAGCAACGCCGCGUGUGUGAAGAAGGAUUUCGGUUCGUAAAACUCUUUUUUUAGGGAGGAAGAGCGCUUAGAUUAACUGUAAUGGUUUUGACGUUAUCGAACCAAAAAGCCACGGCUAACUACGUGCCAGCAGCCGCGGUAAUACGUAGGUGGCAAGCGUUGUCCGGAAUUACUGGGCGUAAAGCGAGCGCAGGUGGUUUAUUAAGUCUGAUGUGAAAUCCCCGGGCUCAACCGGGGAAGUGGAGUGGAAACUGGUUGACUUGAGUGGAGAAGAGGGGAGUGGAAUUUCAUGUGUAGCGGUUAAAUGCGUAGGUAUAUGGAGGAACACCAGUGGCGAAGGCGACUAUCUGGUCUGUUACUGACGCUGAGGUUCGAAAGCGUGGGGAGCAAACAGG